AGAGGGCUUGAAUCGGCGGGAGGGAAGCGGAUGGAUCCGGGACUGCCCCGAUUGAUUUGGGAAAGGUGUAUGGUGAGUCCUCCGUCUCUCGUUGCUCGGACCGACCCAAUUUGAGUUGUCUACCCAAGCCCGGCCUGUGAUAUGCCCGGGGAUGCUUCAGCGACAUUAGCGAGCAACGCUUUGAGCGCCUCUCGCUGUGCUUCAAAAUCUGUUAGCUCCUUUUGUCUUGUGAUUUCUCCCCAUUCUUACCGUCAUUUAUUGCGUCCCUCUGAUUGUGACAUGCGGGCGAAUGCGCGACGUGCUUUUCUUUAAAUCGCACCAAAUAAUGCUGUCGUAAUCCCCUCCCCAUGUAGAACCCGCGACCGAAUCCGACCCGUCUUGAAACACGGACCGAGACAUGAUUGUGUGCACCCGAAAGAGGGUGAACUAUGCCUGAAGGGAAAUGAAACAAAAUGAACUCUUUAGAGAGUGACGUGCGAUCUUGACGAAAGGUCAGCAUGGCCCCAUUGCUAACUAGUUUACAGAAGACUAGUAGGAACCAGCGUACGCGUGGAUACUCGAAAGAUGGUGAACUAUUCCUGAGCAGGACGAAGCCAGAGGAAACUCUGGUGGAAGUCCGAAGCGGUUCUGACGUGCAAAUCGAUCGUCUGACUUGGGUAUAGGGGCGAAAGACUAAUCGAACCAUCUAGUAGCUG
Molecule: ribosomal RNA, 695 nt
Filed under: Meloidogyne enterolobii
Lineage: Eukaryota; Metazoa; Nematoda; Chromadorea; Rhabditida; Meloidogynidae
Description: eukaryotic LSU rRNA
Rfam family: Eukaryotic large subunit ribosomal RNA
Source: RNAcentral